RNAcentral lists this long non-coding RNA (1722 nucleotides) under Haliotis rubra (blacklip abalone). RNAcentral's name for it is "uncharacterized LOC124274517". Lineage: Eukaryota; Metazoa; Mollusca; Gastropoda; Lepetellida; Haliotidae. The record is from RNAcentral.
GAAGAUGCCUGGCCGUCAUUCGUAUGUUCUUCAGUCAUAAAGUCGGGAGUAACCUGCAAAAAAAAAUAGGUGAGUCAUCGUCGGAAUCGUCUCUCAGUCUAUGUUGACCUGGGGUGAUGUCACCCGAUGAUAACAAAUCCAACAGAGGAUAUAGGGAGCUUUCACUUGAAUGUGAACGUGAGCGAGGCAAAUUUGGUGGAAAAAUGUCAUCUGAGGACAUGGUAGCUGUAUGUUCGUAUGUUCUCAGUUUCAAGGCAAGAAAGAAGUCGAUUUUACCUUUCCAAGUCAAUACAUAGGCUCAAAUCUCGUGCAACAUCUGCCAGAACACAUAAUGCGCCCAAUCACACAAGUUAUAAAUGUUAUAAAAGUUAUAUACGAAGCUAUCAUACAGCGCAUGAAAUAGGCGUGUACAAAUCUAGGUCACACAAGCAAAUACACUGAAGUCAACAGACACCUUCACAAAACUGAAAGUGCACAACAUCAGUUGUGAAGAAAGUUCUCUAUACGUCACACUAACAAUAUCGCUAAACAUAAAAUCAAGAAACUAUCAGCUUUUCUCGUCAAUCACAAAACAGCUGUGAUCACACUACGGAAGCUCAGAUGACCGGAAGCAAAGACAGAUAGAGAACAGUGGAUCGAAUCCCAGGUUCAAGAAGCAUCAACAAUAAUGACUGAAGCAGCAAUAGCGUUUGUUCACAAAGUGAAGGACGCAUUACAUAAACUGGCUGACGCUCUGGACGCAGACGAUGCACGUUAUGUCAAAAUUGCUGGAAGAUCCUUUGUUGUGAACAUAACAGGAGGAACCAUUGUAACUGCGAGUGUUGGAGGUGUCUUUGGUCUCUCGCUUCUUGGUUUCUCUCUUGCCACAGUGGUUCCCGCCAUAGCUCUAGUUGGAAUGGUUUUGGGAAGUGGCAUUGGCGCCGUUGGUGCGUAUAAAAGGUAUGCAGAAAAUGCAUCAUUCACAUCCCAUGUGAAAGAAGCACAAGCCAUCUUUGACGAGUAUUCACAGUACCUAAAACAACAGAGCCCACUUGGAAGUUGUGACAUCAGAGCAGUUAGGAAUUUAGGCGAAAUGAUUGAUGUGACAUCUCUGGUACUGACCCUCGAAGACGGAAACACGAGGAAAGGGAGUGAUGCUAUGGCCUUCUUAAAGAAAAAUCAACCGUAUUCAAGGGCUACAGUCACAUUUAGCGUAGGAGUGUAUGUCAAGAGGAACAAAACUCAAUACAAUUCGGAUCUCACAAAUACGAUUCGUAAGAGGGCCAAUGAGCUUAUGAACUGUGGGGGGAUUUGGACGACAUACACUUUGGCUGACGAAAAAAACGAAUGCAUUGUUUUUAUCUGCAGUUUAACAUGAUUGUAACUGAUUUGUUUGGCAAAAGUUUGUUGGGACAUCUAUUUUGGGCGCAAACUGUUUCACGUUUAUCAGGUCCCAUCCAAAACGUUACACAAUGAGUUUCUAACCGACUGUUUCAUGUUAAUGUGUCAAUUGGUUUGUAGCUUUGUAGGAUGUUAUACAUUAGGAUUUAAGUGUUCUGUAUUUUGUUAACGUCCUUAUGGAUUUCAGUGAACUUGGUUUCCUUUCAACUAAGACAGCCAAUAAUUCCAAUAAUAUACACAAUGAGACGUGGACGCAUUGGCUUUGCACACACGGAGACGUGAGCCAAGACGUUCUGUGAUGUAUUGUGAUGUAUUGGCCAGAAUACAUGUUUACGCCAUGGC